AUGCGAUAAGUAAUGCGAAUUGCAGAAUUCCGCGAGUCAUCGAAUCUUUGAACGCACAUUGCGCCUGCCAGUAUUCUGGCAGGCAUGCCUGUCCGAGCGUCAUUUCAACCCCCAGGCCUUCGUUGCCUGUUGUUGGGGCAUUCAGGGGGGUCCGACGGACCCCCCUGAGCCCUGAAAAUCAGUGGCGGGCCUGCCAGGUCACCGAGCGCAGUAAUCUCUCUCGCUCAGGGGCCCUAGCUGGUGCUAGCCGUGAAAACACACACCUACGAACAGUGGUUUGACCUCGGAUCAGGUAGGAAUACCCGCUGAACUUAA
This 315-nucleotide unclassified non-coding RNA is filed under the name uncultured Sordariomycetes. Its description in RNAcentral is "partial contains 5.8S ribosomal RNA, internal transcribed spacer 2, and large subunit ribosomal RNA". The stretch from base 1 to 102 matches the Rfam family "5.8S ribosomal RNA", at positions 53 to 154 of the family's 154-position model. The record is from RNAcentral. Lineage: Eukaryota; Fungi; Ascomycota; Sordariomycetes.